ACCUGAAGUGGUGCUAGGGGUAAUUCCUAAACCGCGGGUCGUACGUUCAAUUCGUAUCGGGGGCACCA
Molecule: transfer RNA, 68 nt
Filed under: Nitrospira sp.
Lineage: Bacteria; Pseudomonadati; Nitrospirota; Nitrospiria; Nitrospirales; Nitrospiraceae
Description: tRNA-OTHER
Source: RNAcentral